This is a non-coding RNA of Shewanella sp. MR-7, 354 nucleotides long. The record is from Rfam. Lineage: Bacteria; Pseudomonadati; Pseudomonadota; Gammaproteobacteria; Alteromonadales; Shewanellaceae.
CGAGUUGGCCAGACAGUCGCUGCGCUCGCAAGAGCGGGGAGGAAAGUCCGGGCUUCAAAGAGCGGGGUGCCAGGUAACGCCUGGGCGGUGCGAACCGACGACAAGUGCAACAGAGAGGAGACCGCCAUCAUAGCCUCGGCUAAGGUGGUAAGGGUGAAAGGGUGCGGUAAGAGCGCACCGUGCGGCUAGCAAUAGUCCGUAGCAAGGUAAACUCCACCCGAAGCAAGACCAAAUAGGGUUCCGUAUGGCGUGGCUCGCGUUGGAACCGGGUAGGUCGCUUGAGCCUGCGAGCGAUUGCAGGCCUAGAUGAAUGACUGUCCAAGACAGGACCCGGCUUAUCGGCCAACUCAUUAA